CAGUCGCCCGGUAAAACGGAGGGUGCAAGCGUUAAUCGGAAUUACUGGGCGUAAAGCGCACGCAGGCGGUUUGUUAAGUCAGAUGUGAAAUCCCCGGGCUCAACCUGGGAACUGCAUUUGAAACUGGCAAGCUAGAGUCUCGUAGAGGGGGGUAGAAUUCCAGGUGUAGCGGUGAAAUGCGUAGAGAUCUGGAGGAAUACCGGUGGCGAAGGCGGCCCCCUGGACGAAGACUGACGCUCAGGUGCGAAAGCGUGGGGAGCAAACAGGAUUAGAUACCCGUGUAGUCCCUGUCUCUUAUACA
This 301-nucleotide ribosomal RNA is filed under the name uncultured bacterium. RNAcentral's name for it is "partial 16S ribosomal RNA". It matches the Rfam family "Bacterial small subunit ribosomal RNA", at positions 509 to 808 of the family's 1533-position model. The record is from RNAcentral.